AUGUCACUCUAUCACCAUUUUUUCACACGAACACACUUAUUUUUGAUACAGAACAUAUCAUUUAGAGCACGCAAACACUUACCAGGAUUUUUGGCUCAUACAAAACAGGUUAUACACACAGGCGGUGUCAGGAAAAUAGGAACAUACUCUUAUUCUAGGAACAAACUAAUUCUUAUUCACAGACGGACCAGCCGCAGUUUUAGAGGAGAAAAGGUUAAGCAUCUGGAAAAGAAUUGA
Molecule: non-coding RNA, 237 nt
Organism: Vicia faba (fava bean)
Lineage: Eukaryota; Viridiplantae; Streptophyta; Magnoliopsida; Fabales; Fabaceae
Source: the annotation of a GenBank genome assembly